GACGAACGCUGGCGGCGUGCUUAACACAUGCAAGUCGAACGGAAAGGCCCUGCUUGCAGGGUGCUCGAGUGGCGAACGGGUGAGUAACACGUGGGUGAUCUGCCCCUUACUUUGGGAUAAGCCUGGGAAACUGGGUCUAAUACUGGAUAGGACCAUGCUGUAGGUGGUGUGGUGGAAAGAUUAGUUUCGGUAAGGGAUGAGCUCGCGGCCUAUCAGCUUGUUGGUGGGGUAAUGGCCUACCAAGGCGUCGACGGGUAGCCGGCCUGAGAGGGUGGACGGCGACAUUGGGACUGAGAUACGGCCCAGACGCCUACGGGAGGCAGCAGUGGGGAAUAUUGCACAAUGGGCGCAAGCCUGAUGCAGCGACGCCGCGUGGGGGAUGACGGCCUUCGGGUUGUAAACUCCUUUCAGCCAUGACGAAGCCCUUGUGGUGACGGUAGUGGGAGAAGAAGCACCGGCUAACUACGUG
This 469-nucleotide ribosomal RNA is filed under the name uncultured bacterium. Its description in RNAcentral is "partial 16S ribosomal RNA". It matches the Rfam family "Bacterial small subunit ribosomal RNA", at positions 28 to 507 of the family's 1533-position model. The record is from RNAcentral.